AUAAUGAAAAUGGGAUGUUUACAUCAGUAAGAGUCCAAGGAGGAGAUUUUAAUUAGGAUUCGUGGAGAACAGAUGAAGUGUUUUUACUGGGAAAGCAGGCCUAAAAUCAGGCCAAGAGGACCUGUUGGGCCACGGCCUUUCUGAAAGAAGGGAGAAGAGCCUAGCUGCCUUGGGAGGAGACCAGGGAGAAGGCCUUUUGAUGGCUCUAUUGUUCCAAGCGCUUGCCCUACAAAUACCACAUCCCUCCCCGUCUCUUCCGCAAGGGCAGAGCGGGAAACUGGGUCGGUCGGUUGGGCCGAGCUCGAAGUAGCGACAGCGCUGGCACCAACCUCUCGGCCCCUUCUGCGGCCCCUUGGGGCGGCAACGGCGCGCCAUUCCCGUCGCAGGCCCAAAACACACAAAGGAAGCCCCCACCCGUCCUCAGAUGUGGGGACACUCUGGGGAGGAGGCUGGCGUGGACCCCGAGUCUGAGCACCUCCCUCCCCCGCGGGGAACAAUAGCCGCCGCCUCCCCGGGGCGGCCGGGCGGUCGCGCGGCACAAAGGCCGGCUCCGGGCCGCGCCACCAUGUGACGCGCGCGCUCGUUCCGCGCUCUCCGGCCUGCAGCCGGGCGCAGUCAGCAGAGAGCCGGAGCGGCCAGGCUGCCUCAAUCCACCUGGCACACUUUCCGAAAGACAAACGCGGUUCCUCCUACUUCAGAGCAAGUCUGGGCCAGCUGGGAGCCGACCAGAAACCGCAAGCAGAGGAGACACAGGCACCCGGGGUGAGCGCUCACGGAGGGCGCGACCCGCCGCCCCAAGCUCUGCGGCGCUAGGCCGGACACCCCCCCACUCCCCGUCCUCCCGGCCGCCUGCCGGCCCCGCCUCCGGACCCCUUGCAGCCCACGGCUCUCCUAAGGGGCGGCCCCCGCGCCCGCCCCAGACGCACGGAGACUGUAUACCCUGCCCCCCCUCCUGCUCCCCGCCCCCCGUCACACCCUUAGCGCAGCUGUACCCCUGGAAAGGGAAGAGGAAAAUCCCAGGUUUUGCAGACACUAUGUAAGAGUCUUAAAAAAAGAAAAAAAAGAAAAAAAAGAAAAAAGAUUCCCAGGGGACUAGAAUUCAGGGAUGGGGCGGAGCUAGUUUAGUUCUCUUAUUUACCUGCAGGAGUCAUUUAUUUGGAAGCAAGCAAGGGUAUCCCUGUUAAACUUGGAACUAAACCUGAAUGCCAUAUAAAAAGAACAAUUAAAAUACACGUAAAAUGCCAACCAUAAUGAUAUGCCUCUCCUCUCUUUUCAAGUGUGAAGGAAGGACUGGAGUAUUUUUACGUCAGCUCUUUUGGGGUUCAUUUUAGAAAUACCAGAAAGGGAUAGACUGAAAACUGUGAGCGUUGGUGGAGGGAGAGAGAAGGAGGUCGUUAGCAUUAGAGCUGUUUGCAGCAGGAGGUCAUGGGUAAAGUGGGUGGUGAAGCGUUCUUAUGGUGGUGCUUGUAGUCCUCGGUAAGUUCUAAGAAAGUUUCAGGCUAUCCCCUCUUUUACCCUCUUUUUGAAUGACAUCAGCUGAGAAAUUUCUGACGUUAGUUAAAAGUUGUUGCCUCAGCCUAUAGGAAAGAGCCCCUGAAAGACAAAAUCCCAGCUCCUCCCUCCCUGUCUUCUCUCUCAGCAUCCUCUCAGGUGGAAAUUAACUUGCUUUGGAAAGAUGUUCUACUAUCAUUUUACUUUAGAUAGAUAGAAGCUGUAGCAUUAAGUCUUGCACAGUGUCCUGAAUUCUUUAAGCAAUUACAAUACUGGUCCUCUUG
Long non-coding RNA from Leopardus geoffroyi (Geoffroy's cat), 1775 nucleotides. RefSeq lists it as uncharacterized. The transcript is spliced from 2 exons. Lineage: Eukaryota; Metazoa; Chordata; Mammalia; Carnivora; Felidae. The record is from RefSeq and is a predicted model, not a curated record.